UACCCACUAAUGCACAACAGCCCAAGCUCCAAGUUGAUUAAGGGAAUCAACUUGGCACGAUGACAACGCAGAAGAUGCCCACCUACUUUCAUCAUGCAUGUUCCCACUCUUCACAGACGACACCAUGAUGUUAAAGGGAAAAGAAAAGGCAAAAGAGAAAGCAAAAGUAAGGAAUAAACACCCCCACUAGAAUGAUGUGAUUUACUUUUUUGACAGAUGUAUGAUGUAAUUUAUUUUCCUUAUCUCUCGGAG
RNAcentral lists this long non-coding RNA (252 nucleotides) under Malus domestica (apple). RNAcentral describes it as "long non-coding RNA (MDOM_LNC016646)". Lineage: Eukaryota; Viridiplantae; Streptophyta; Magnoliopsida; Rosales; Rosaceae. The record is from RNAcentral.